ACUGAGGUGGCAGAGCCCGGCAAUUGCAAAAGACCUAAACCCUUUAUACCGGAGGUUCAAAUCCUCCCCUCAGUU
RNAcentral lists this transfer RNA (75 nucleotides) under Loricariichthys platymetopon. RNAcentral's name for it is "tRNA-Leu". It matches the Rfam family "tRNA". From Rfam's summary of the family: Transfer RNA (tRNA) molecules are approximately 80 nucleotides in length. Their secondary structure includes four short double-helical elements and three loops (D, anti-codon, and T loops). The record is from RNAcentral. Lineage: Eukaryota; Metazoa; Chordata; Actinopteri; Siluriformes; Loricariidae.